Molecule: long non-coding RNA, 1152 nt
Filed under: Vulpes vulpes (red fox)
Lineage: Eukaryota; Metazoa; Chordata; Mammalia; Carnivora; Canidae
Description: lncRNA (ENSVVUG00000011358.1)
Source: RNAcentral
AUGUCGCCUGGAGUGGUGGCCAGCAUGGUGGGUGGGUGGGUGGAGGACCUGGACCCUGGGUGGCCGGCCACCUGGCCUUUCCCCCUGAGCCCCCCAGCCCCGUGGGAACCCUCAACAGCCCACCUGCAGGACAUGCGCGCCCCUCCCCAAUGCAUCCGUGGCCCUGGCCCCCCACUCCCUCCCCGUCCCUCCCUGCCUGGCCCUCGCCAGUCUCACAACUCGGAUACGGCAGCCCUGGCCUGGCCCAGCCCUGACCUGUGGCACCAGCCUCCCUCUGCAGGGCCCAGCAUCUCCACCACUGGCACACAGGAGGACACCCAUCGGGGACCCUGCGUUUGCCUCCCACUCUGGGCAGCCGUGUCCCCCCGCAGAGCCCAGCCUCGUCGCCCAGGACGUCCCCACCACUGUGGCCCCACUCUGCCACGUGAGGCUCUCAGACACCACUUGGAGACUCUCCUGGCCCCAUCCACCAGGGGACAGCAGCACCGCGUGCCCAGGAUGGCGGGGCUGCGGAACAGGUCACACGUGUGUGUCCUGAGGCCUGGCGCAUCGGGGACUGAGCAUCUCGUCCUCGGAGGGGUCCAGGCAGCCACUGGUGAGGACGCGGUGGACACCUGGAGCAGGACAGGCCAUCCAUCCGCGAUGCUCCCAGCACUCGAGCUCCCCAUCCCCAGCACGGCCGGCGGAGGAAGAAGGGCCCACUCUGGUCUCGGGUCUCGGGUCUCAGGUCCCCGUCUCCGUCAGGGGGGCCUCACCGGGCAGCCGCCCUCCCUGCCAGGGUGUCACGGGGCAGACAAGGAGAAAGACAAGAAGGAAACCUUUGCCAUGGGACACGCCAUCAAGGACCAGAGCCCCAUCACCAUGAGGAAGCCCGGCCCAUCCCGAUGGAUGAGGCCCAACCAGGACCCAGGACAUCCCGGCUCCCUCACCCCCUGCCCCUCAGAGUCACACGCUCCCUGCCCCCUCCCGGAAUGCCCGCGGCCCCACCUCCUGCGAAUACACCACUCCUCCAGGCAUCUGCCCUGUUUGCUUCUCACAGUCCCUGGGCUGGCUCCUCCUCUGGCUUCAGGGGCCUGGCGCGACGGCAAGUCCUGGCAGUGACAAGGCUUUGAUGCAAAUAAAAGGAACUCGGAGCAGCUAAGGAAAGAGGGC